Molecule: ribosomal RNA, 1005 nt
Filed under: Triticum aestivum (bread wheat)
Lineage: Eukaryota; Viridiplantae; Streptophyta; Magnoliopsida; Poales; Poaceae
Description: partial small subunit ribosomal RNA
Source: RNAcentral
AUGGCCGCCGCCGCCCCCAUCCCGGCCCCGGCGCCCGCGGCCGACGACGAGAUCGUCUACGAGUCCAUGCCCUGCAUCCGCAUCUACAAGAACCGCGUGGAGCGCUACUUCGGCUCCGAGUUCGUCGCCGCCUCCGCCGACGCCGACGCCGCCACCGGGGUCGCCUCCCGCGACCGCGUCAUCUCCCCCGAGGUCUCCGCGCGCCUCUAUCUCCCCCGCAUCGACGCCGCCCAGGCCGACGCCAAGCUCCCCGUCCUCGUCUACUACCACGGCGGCGGCUUCUGCCUCGGCUCCGCCUUCAACCCCACCUUCCACGCCUACUUCAACAACCUCGCCGCGCUCGCCGGCGUCCUCGUCGUCUCCGUCGAGUACCGCCUCGCGCCCGAGCACCCCGUCCCCGCCGCCUACGCCGACUCCUGGGACGCGCUCGCCUGGGUCGUCUCCCACGCCGCCCCCGGCGCCGCCGCCGCCGCUGGCUUCGAGCCCUGGCUCGCCGACCACGCCGACUUCGCCCGCCUCUACCUCGGCGGCGAGAGCGCCGGCGCCAACAUCGCGCACCACGUGGCGAUGCGGGUCGGCGCGGAGGGGCUGCCCCACGCCGCCGCGAUCCACGGCCUCCUCAUGAUCCACCCCUACUUCCUCGGCACCGACAAGGUGGCCUCCGACGACCUGGACCCGGCGGCGCGGGAGAGCCUGGCCAGCCUGUGGCGCGUCAUGUGCCCGGCCACCACCGGGGAGGACGACCCGCUCAUCAACCCGUUCGUGGAGGGCGCCCCCGGGCUCGAUGCCCUGGCGUGCGGCCGCGUGCUGGUGUGCAUCGGGGAGGGCGACGUGCUCCGCGACCGCGGCCGCGCCUACUACGACCGGCUCAGGGCCAGCGGGUGGCGCGGGGAGGCCGACAUUUGGCAGGCGCCGGGGAAGGGGCACACCUUCCACCUCCUCGAGCCCUGCUGCGAAGAGGCCGUCGCCCAGGACAAGGUCAUCGCCGAGUUCCUCAACCAUUGA